Molecule: long non-coding RNA, 454 nt
Filed under: Cricetulus griseus (Chinese hamster)
Lineage: Eukaryota; Metazoa; Chordata; Mammalia; Rodentia; Cricetidae
Description: lncRNA (ENSCGRG00015033865.1)
Source: RNAcentral
AGCCGGUAUGAGGGAUCACGGCGGCCAGGGCCCUGCAUGCGGCGGCAUUCCUGAUGCCGGGGCUCGUCUGCCGCCUCUUUCCUCGUGAAACCCGGAGCUGGCAUCGGGAUCGCUAGUUUACUCUUAGCCAUCUGUGGUGACCUUGGGUCUCCUUCAGGGCACCUGGCGGAAAGCACGAAAGCUGGGGAGAUCCUGGAGUCACAGAUUUGCCACAGUAACAAAAAGGCCGAUGAAAAUUGUUACACUUUGGCUCUUAGAGCUUAGAAGAACAUUGUCUAUUCAGGAACUCCUGACUGUAUGUGUUGGUGGAGGAGGAGGUUUACAGUUUAAUCUACUCAUGAGGUCCAUCUUGUUUGGGAAGAAGAAUGGUUUGUUUACACUCUUGAUUUCCUGACACAAUCCCACUGGUACUGGAUGUCAAAGUAGCUUUUAGGUCCGGCAGCACUGCAGAAAU